AGAACCUUACCAGCCCUUGACAUCCCGAUCGCGGAUUACGGAGACGUUUUCCUUCAGUUCGGCUGGAUCGGAGACAGGUGCUGCAUGGCUGUCGUCAGCUCGUGUCGUGAGAUGUUGGGUUAAGUCCCGCAACGAGCGCAACCCUCGCCCUUAGUUGCCAGCAUUUGGUUGGGCACUCUAAGGGGACUGCCGGUGAUAAGCCGAGAGGAAGGUGGGGAUGACGUCAAGUCCUCAUGGCCCUUACGGGCUGGGCUACACACGUGCUACAAUGGUGGUGACAGUGGGCAGCGAGACCGCGAGGUCGAGCUAAUCUCCAAAAGCCAUCUCAGUUCGGAUUGCACUCUGCAACUCGAGUGCAUGAAGU
This 364-nucleotide ribosomal RNA is filed under the name Ensifer sp. PDN26. RNAcentral describes it as "bacterial SSU rRNA". It matches the Rfam family "Bacterial small subunit ribosomal RNA", at positions 965 to 1326 of the family's 1533-position model. Lineage: Bacteria; Pseudomonadati; Pseudomonadota; Alphaproteobacteria; Hyphomicrobiales; Rhizobiaceae. The record is from RNAcentral.